Molecule: long non-coding RNA, 3660 nt
Organism: Chiroxiphia lanceolata (lance-tailed manakin)
Lineage: Eukaryota; Metazoa; Chordata; Aves; Passeriformes; Pipridae
Exons: 3
Source: RefSeq, a predicted model, not a curated record
GGUGUCACCGCCGACCCCGCCCGGCUCCGCCGCCAUGAUGCCGCGGUUUAGUCCCUCCGCCUCAGCCUCACCGCGGAUUCCAACCCCUGCCUCCUUCUGCCCGCCGAGCUCUCGGGCCGGCGGCGGGAGAGAGACGCCAGGGCGGCGGAGAGCUGCCCCUGCCCCGCCUGAGGCUGCCGUCCCCUCAGGGGCACCAUGGCGGAGCCCGCCUGAGGGAUCCGUCCCCUCAGGGGCGCGAAGGGCGGGAUGGCGGAGCCCGCCUGAGGGAUCCGUCGCCUGAGAGAGAGAUCCAUCCCCUCUGGGGCGCCGUGGCAGAGCCCCUCCAGCUGCGGUGUGAGGGAGCACCACACUCCUCGCUUCUGUUCUUCGUGGGCUUACAAGACUUGCAAACACAGGGCAAGAGCUCUGCUCGUACCUUAUAAUUUAAGAGUUCAUGUGCCGUUCUGCAGGGACUGCAGCCUGUCAGGGGAACCCGAAGUCCAUCCCUAAUUGUUCAGCUUCAGGGCCAUACACCCAGAAAAGACUAGAAUUAUUUUAAACGCUAUCCAUCACUGCUACUCUUUCGUAUAAAAUAAAGUGUUUUUUCGAGGGCCACGUCUGUUUUGAACAAGUAGGAAAACAAGGCCACGUGAAGCAAAGGUCUUUGCCCUAUGCUAGUGGUGGAAUUGGGGGCAAAAAGCACAAAAACUCGUUUCUGGCUCACUGGACCAGCCAAACAUCCUGAAAAUUGGCUGUAGAUGAGAUUUGGGGGGGGAUUUCUCUUACUUUCAUAAAUCACACGUACAGGUCACUCCUUGCACUCUGGUUUCUGUGUUCUGUGCUGGUGGUGGGAAGAUACAAGACCUGCAGGAGAUAAUGGGACAGACCAGCAGAGGACACUGGAAAAAAACCAAAAGAGCAGAAAAUCCCUCAAAACCAGAUUUUCAUCUUUUUGCAGAGUCCUCAGUUUCCAAUCCAGAGAUCUCUUCGGGCCCAGGUGUGCCCACAACGGGGUGGACUGGGGGGUGGUAACAUCCAAAACUGUCCUGGUUUCCUGGCUUUGUAUCCCCGAUCCUUUACCCUGCUCAGGUCAUUCUCAGCUGAUGGUUAGCAAACAGACUCCAGGUCCUUUUAUUGCAGCUGUGACUCACUGAAAACAAGGAUCAGACACACCUUUUCCAUGAAAACCCUGCUGAACUGACUGCCCGAGCGCUUCAGGACUUGGAUGAGGAUCGUGGGCUUAGUGACUGCAGCUUCCCAGGGCUGAGGUCACGCGUGAGGAGCGUUUUUGGGCAUGUGCUGGUGCCUCACGUCAUCCUGGCUGCCCCUGCCUCUCCAAGGAUGCCGGAUUUGAUGUGCAUCAGAGAUUCCACUGCGCUGGAGAAUUUCCAUGGACUUCAGCACAAGGACAGAAAAUCUCGGAGACAGAACAAGCAAAGGGGAAGAAAAAAACCACCAUUAUCAGCAGGAAAUUCAGGAGACAGUUUCAGUUCUCAGAGAGUAGCAAAGAGCUGCUGGAUAACAUCAGUUAAUGCUUUGAGGGCGACAUGCCAGGGAAAGCACCGAUCCCAGAAGGUAACUCCGACCUUAUGCAUGUGAUUAAUGUGUUUUAAUCUCCCCAAAGGCACAAUGGCAGGUGGAGAACUACACGAACCUAAUCAGAUAACAGAAUGGAGCCACCAAACAAUGGUGACACCGCCACGGUGAGCCACCAGAAAGGCUCUCUGGCUCAUACAGGCAAGUGCUGCACAGGUGACCCUUCCAGUUUUCAUCCUGAAGAGCCAGAAAAAGAUUAAACUGCAAAAUUAGCACUCUGAGGAAUGAGAGGCGAAGGAAAAGCUUGUCAAAUCACAGGGCGACAUGCUCUGAGGGAUAAGAGUCAAAGGAAAAGCUGCUGAAACCAGAGAAAAAUGGGAUUUAAAAAAAAAAAGAAAAGAAAGAUCUCAGGGUAAUAAUAAUUAAAAAAAAAAUCUAGAUGUGCUUUGUUAUGUAGCAGAAAGCUGACUUGACACAUCUCAACCCCAUGGGUAAUGGCAGCUUGGUUAUUCUGAGCCAUCUCCCAUCCUCCUCCUACAUGUUCAAAUAUUCCUGUCAGAACUGGUCAAAAUGUUUUAACUUGAUUUCUUUUUAUUUUGUUAUUUCUGAGCAGAAAUGUCUUUUCAUGCAAAACAAACAUUGUGACAGAAAGGGUAACUUUGGUCAGGAUGAUUUGCAAUGUAAACAAGGAGUCCAGUGAGAAAUAUCAUCAUGUUUGACAUCAGCUUUGUUAUGACAGAAAUCUGAAGUUUGUCUAACCUUAUUUUCUGCAGGAAAGGAGAUAGAGGGACAAAAAGAAAUCAAACUGCUUUUUUUUUAACUCCCCUCCCCCUGAGCCAACCCAAAAUUAUUUCUUCAAUUGCAGGUUUCUCAUCCAUCUCAGCCAUGCCAUAAUGUUUUUCUCCACACAGUUUUUUAGGGAACUGGAUCCAACAACUUAGUUUCCAGUUACAGACACACAAGAGCCAUUCCCUGACCUCAUUAUCCUGAGGAGAAGGAUAUUAUCCUGCUGCUUUUGUUGAGAGCAGCUCCAUCCAGCCACAGGCAGGAUGUGUGGGGACAGCUGUCCUGCGCUUCAGCUUGCUCUUGCAUGCUGUGAGUCCUGGCAGGGGGCUUCCUAGGAGGCCCAGGGGAAAACCUGAACAUGUGGAGCAAUUUUCGGGAUGCAGAGGUGAGGCUGUGGGUGAUCCGUCAGGACCAGACGGCAGGUGGCACCCAUGGAUUAGCACAGGGCUCGCUCCAGCCAGGCUGGGCAGUGCCUGCAGCUGGGCUUCGGCUUCACCCUCCAUGAGCCACAGCUGCAGGGAUUUGGGCUCUUUUGCUGCCAUGCAGGGACAUCCCUGUGUCCUGGGGCUACUCCCCACAGGCCAGACUAUUCCCAUCACAUUUUAUUCGCCUGGGCACUCAGCUUGGCUUUGGACAAGGGGUGCCCACGGCAAUCGGGGGUGUUGUGCCUCGGCACUGCUCCCAACGGGAUGGGGAAGUAAAGGGAACACCAUGGCUGGCAGGGAAGGACCAGUGCCAGGGUACCUGAGUAAGGAGAGCAGGAGGCAGCCGGGGUCAGCCAAGAGUCCCCGUCAUCCUGCGUGUUCACAGCAGUAGGGCAGGCUGGAGGAAUCAAUCCAUAGCUCAGGAUCAAUCCUGGUGCGGGCAGCCACAGCCAGGUGAUCCCUAGGCAGGUCCAAGGGGACAAAACAGAGCUGAGCUCAAGCUGGGAAAUCAGUCUAGAUCAGGAUUCACAUCAAUAGGGCCUAUAGCUGCAGGUAUAGCUGGGACUAAACUAGAGACCAGCACCCCAGAGACGCAACUCAAACUGGGACCUGCCCUGGGCUGAGCUUAAAUGGGCUCCCAAGCCCAUGGGCAAGUGUGGCUGGGAAUUCCAUCCCAGGUGGGGCUGCUCAGGGCUGUCAGUGCCCCCAGGACUCGUCCCCCAGCCUGCAGGCACUGGUUGCUUGAGAGGUAGAAGACCUUGUGCUGUCCUCAAAGUGCUGUUUUGUACAUCAAGGGACACCUCAGCCAGCCAUGUGGUCCCUCUUUUUUUCCCCAGGGAUAUAUUUGGCUGUGCCACCCUGGCCCUCUGCAGCAGAGGUCACUUGGUUUGUUCAGCCUGGAGGAGACUGAGGGGAGACCUCAGUGGGGCCUUCA